UACGGGGGGAGCAAGCGUUGUUCGGAUUUACUGGGCGUAAAGGGCGCGUAGGCGGUCAGCACAAGUCAGUUGUGAAAUCUCCGAGCUUAACUCGGAAAGGUCAACUGAUACUGUGCGACUAGAGUGCAGAAGGGGCAACUGGAAUUCUUGGUGUAGCGGUGAAAUGCGUAGAUAUCAGGAGGAACACCGGUGGCGAAGGCGGCUUUCUGGACAGAAACUGACGCUGAUGCGCGAAAGCUAGGGGAGCAAACAGG
RNAcentral lists this ribosomal RNA (254 nucleotides) under uncultured bacterium. RNAcentral describes it as "partial 16S ribosomal RNA". It matches the Rfam family "Bacterial small subunit ribosomal RNA", at positions 524 to 776 of the family's 1533-position model. The record is from RNAcentral.